Molecule: unclassified non-coding RNA, 240 nt
Filed under: uncultured fungus
Lineage: Eukaryota; Fungi
Description: partial contains 5.8S ribosomal RNA, internal transcribed spacer 2, and large subunit ribosomal RNA
Rfam family: 5.8S ribosomal RNA (bases 1-52)
Source: RNAcentral
AACGCACAUUGCGCCCCGUGGUAUUCCGCGGGGCAUGCCUGUUCGAGCGUCAGUACAACACUCAAGCUCUGCUUGGUAUUGGACCGCAUCAGUUCUGAUCGGUCUUAAAAUCAGUGGCGGUGCCAUCGUGCUCUAAGCGUAGUAAUACUCCUCGCUACAGGGUCUCGGCGCGUGCUUGCCAGCAACCCCCAACUUUCUAAGUUUGACCUCGGAUCAGGUAGGGAUACCCGCUGAACUUAA